This 730-nucleotide ribosomal RNA is filed under the name Rodentolepis evaginata. RNAcentral's name for it is "partial large subunit ribosomal RNA". The record is from RNAcentral. Lineage: Eukaryota; Metazoa; Platyhelminthes; Cestoda; Cyclophyllidea; Hymenolepididae.
GCGAACAAGUACCAUGAGGGAAAGUUGAAAAGUACUCUGAAGAGAGAGUAAACAGUACGUGAAGCCGCAUGCAGGUAAACGGGUGGCGUCAAGCUGCGAGCCCGGAGGAUUCAGCUGACUGGGAUGUAGUGUACGCGCGCCUGGUGCGUCGAGAGGCCGGAGUAAGAUGUGGCGAUCCACUCUUCUGCUGGGAGUGGGGUGCGAUCGAUGUGCGCUUGCGUAUGUCGGUUGUUGCUAUGUAUGCCGGGUAGGUGCCGGAGCAUGUCGCCUAUCUGUUGGGCCACCUAGUCAGUGCAUUUUCUCCGUGGUGAACACCACGAUCGGUGGAACUGCCAGUCUGCUGUGAUCAAGUCGUGUUCUCCCGGCGCGUUACUGUGUUGGUUGGAUACGAUCGCAGGUGGAGUCGGUGAACGGCGCAGUGGUACUUCGGUAUUGCCGCGUGUUAUCGUGCACUCUCCGUCGUAAACGGUUAGCAGGAUUGACUAAGUGCUGUGACUACUUUCCUACUAACUGGCAGAUCAUAGUGGUGAAAGGGACUGUGCAGGGCACCGGAGUUGUCCACCUCAUUCAAUAUGGUAUCCGACACGCACGUUACAGGUGCUAUACAAUCGGGGUACGCCGCUGUCUGUCUGGUAUUUGGCCUGACUGUCGUGUCGCCUGCGCAAAGUGGGUCCGGCAGUGGUUUUAGUGCUUGGCAGUUGCAGUGUGUUGCGUAUUUCGGGUGUCUGUG